This 656-nucleotide ribosomal RNA is filed under the name unidentified microorganism. RNAcentral's name for it is "bacterial SSU rRNA". It matches the Rfam family "Bacterial small subunit ribosomal RNA", at positions 51 to 719 of the family's 1533-position model. The record is from RNAcentral.
ACACAUGCAGUCGAACGAUGACGGAGGAGCUUGCUCCUCCUGAUUAGUGGCGAACGGGUGAGUAAUACGUGAGCAAUGUGCCCUUGACUCUGGGAUAAGCGCUGGAAACGGCGUCUAAUACCGGAUACGACGAUCGGAGGCAUCUCCUGGUCGUGGAAAGAAYUUCGGUCAAGGAUCAGCUCACGGCCUAUCAGUUAGUUGGUGAGGUAAUGGCUCACCAAGACGACGACGGGUAGCCGGCCUGAGAGGGUGACCGGCCACACUGGGACUGAGACACGGCCCAGACUCCUACGGGAGGCAGCAGUGGGGAAUAUUGCACAAUGGGCGCAAGCCUGAUGCAGCAACGCCGCGUGAGGGACGAAGGCCUUCGGGUUGUAAACCUCUUUUAGCAGGGAAGAAGCGAAAGUGACGGUACCUGCAGAAAAAGCACCGGCUAACUACGUGCCAGCAGCCGCGGUAAUACGUAGGGUGCAAGCGUUGUCCGGAAUUAUUGGGCGUAAAGAGCUCGUAGGCGGUUUGUCACGUCUGCUGUGAAAACCCGAGGCUCAACCUCGGGCUUGCAGUGGGUACGGGCAGACUAGAGUGCGGUAGGGGAGAUUGGAAUUCCUGGUGUAGCGGUGGAAUGCGCAGAUAUCAGGAGGAACACCGAUGGCGAA